This 1257-nucleotide long non-coding RNA is filed under the name Homo sapiens (human). RNAcentral's name for it is "HSALNT0081222". Lineage: Eukaryota; Metazoa; Chordata; Mammalia; Primates; Hominidae. The record is from RNAcentral.
CUGUCAACAAAUUCACCAGCAAAAUAAAGGGGCUAACACAUUAAUGAGAUUUCCUGAGACUGCCCUGUAGAGAUGCUUGCAAUCCUUUGCUCUGGAGAAGCCAGGCACCAUGGCAUGAGGCAGCCCUGUGGAGAGGUUCAUGUGGUACAGGACCAGGCCUGCAGCAUCACUUGAGAGAGGCAACAUAACUCUUUUACUGACUAUCACAGAUAGGACCACAAAACAGCCUUGUAAACUCAUCCUAGAGGAUCUAAAAGAGAACCCCCUCAUAACAGAAUGGCAUUCCCAGCUUGCAGGCUCUGAGACUCCAUUGAGUCAUGCCACAUGUAUGGAAAAUGAUUUUUGGAGUGUUAUUCUAUCUAAGGAAAAACAAAGCAAAUUUUCCACUUUCAAGAUUAAAGGACAUUCUGUCUACAUUAAGACAAGCAGGUACAAAGAAGUAAGUUACUGUUGGAUUAAGAAUAUCCAAGACAAUGGUCACAACUUGAAAGCACAUGGAAAAACAUGAAUUAUUUUUAUAAUGUCAGCUAAUCCACAGCUGUGCCACCUGUUAGUAUGGAUGCUAUCCAAAAGGAUUUUUGAAACCUUGUUAUCCAAAUGCAGAAAUGGCAGCUGAAGAGAUGAUUUGUGACAGCAUUUGCUGAGACGAAGUCUGUCCACUAGAUGGAUAAAAUCAGUUCCCUUUUCAUAGCUUGAUCAUCUACAUCUGCUAGUGACCCAGUCCCUGAGAGUCACCAAGAAUUGAUUCCACUGAGGCGAUGGCAGGCGGGGCUUUGGUGUUGGAAAAGUCAGUGGUUGAUAUGGACAGCACAGACUCACAUAAGCUGCUGGUUUAUUACACUAGAAAAAUAAGGGAUCCCUUGACCCAGCUCGGCAAGUGUGAAAUCACGAAAUAAAUGAAGGUUAACAAAGACUGGUCUAAGGAAUAGUUCACUACAAUACCGCAAUGCUCUUCUCACUAAUACUCGACUCUGCAUUUCGGUACUUAUAUCUGAAAGAUUUGCAAAUAAUGACAACAUUCGUGCCAGACAUUACUGCAAGUGAGGAACAGACUAAAGGAGAGGAAGGAACAAAAUGCCUUCCAAGAGAGAAACAUUCAUUAGCCUUACUGGCAAGUGUCUAAAGCAAACAAGGAAACUGCAAAAUAAUUACUUAGUUACAAAUAAACGCUUUUAGCACAGUACCUUUUUGUGUCUGUCCCUCUUCCAUAUUCUCUUCCAUGGCUACCUUUCUUCAGUAGAAUCUGGUACACGGAAU